AUUGAACGCUGGCGGCAUGCCUUACACAUGCAAGUCGAACGGCAGCGGGGACUUCGGUCCGCCGGCGAGUGGCGAACGGGUGAGUAAUGUAUCGGAACGUACCAUUGAGUGGGGGAUAACUAUCCGAAAGGAUAGCUAAUACCGCAUAUUCUCUCCGGAGGAAAGCAGGGGACCGCAAGGCCUUGCGCUCAUUGAGCGGCCGAUAUCAGAUUAGCUAGUUGGUGAGGUAAAGGCUCACCAAGGCGACGAUCUGUAGCGGGUCUGAGAGGAUGAUCCGCCACACUGGAACUGAGACACGGUCCAGACUCCUACGGGAGGCAGCAGUGGGGAAUUUUGGACAAUGGGGGCAACCCUGAUCCAGCCAUGCCGCGUGAGUGAAGAAGGCCUUCGGGUUGUAAAGCUCUUUCGGCCGGGAAAAAAUCGCAUGGGUUAAUACCCUGUGUGGAUGAUGGUACCGGAAUAAGAAGCACCGGCUAACUACGUGCCAGCAGCCGCGGUAA
RNAcentral lists this ribosomal RNA (500 nucleotides) under uncultured bacterium. Its description in RNAcentral is "partial 16S ribosomal RNA". It matches the Rfam family "Bacterial small subunit ribosomal RNA", at positions 30 to 523 of the family's 1533-position model. The record is from RNAcentral.